AGCCACAUGUUUGCAAGGAGUGUGGGCGUGGCUUCAGUAGGAACUCACAUCUCAUCAGACACCAGAGAACACACACAGGGGAGAAGCCCCAUGUUUGCAAGGAGUGUGGGCGUGGCUUCAGUGUGAGGUCGCAGCUCAUCAUACACCAGAGAACACACACAGGGGAGAAGCCCCAUGUUUGCAAGGACUGUGGGCGUGGCUUCAGUGUGAAGUCACAGCUCAUCAUACACCAGAGAACACACACAGGGGAGAAGCCCCAUGUUUGCAAGGACUGUGGGCGUGGCUUCAGUGUGAAGUCACAUCUCAUCAUACACCAGAGAACACACACAGGGGAGAAGCCCUUUGUUUGCAAGGAGUGUGGGCGUGGCUUCAGUGUGAUGCCAAGUCUCAUCAGACACCAGAGAACACACACAGGGGAGAAGCCCUUUGUUUGCAAGGAGUGUGGGCGUGGCUUCAGUAUGAGCUCAAAUCUCAUCACACACCAGAGAACACACACAGGGGAGAAGCCCUUUGUUUGCAAGGAGUGUGGGCGUGGCUUCAGUGUGAGGUCACAUCUCAUCACACACCAGAGAACACACACAGGGGAGAAGCCCUUUGUUUGCAAGGAGUGUGGGCGUGGCUUCAGUGUGAGGUCAUAUCUCAUCAGACACCAGAGAACACACACAGGGGAGAAGCCCUUUGUUUGCAAGGAGUGUGGGCGUGGCUUCAG
Molecule: long non-coding RNA, 709 nt
Organism: Suncus etruscus (white-toothed pygmy shrew)
Lineage: Eukaryota; Metazoa; Chordata; Mammalia; Eulipotyphla; Soricidae
Exons: 3
Source: RefSeq, a predicted model, not a curated record